This is a long non-coding RNA of Spinacia oleracea (spinach), 2163 nucleotides long. RefSeq lists it as uncharacterized. The record is from RefSeq and is a predicted model, not a curated record. NCBI's taxonomy places the organism in Eukaryota, Viridiplantae, Streptophyta, Magnoliopsida, Caryophyllales, Amaranthaceae. The transcript is spliced from 7 exons.
AAUUCUCGACGACAUGAGCUCGGCGCGGUAUGUAUAUCGUUGGGGAAAAUUCUGAUCCGCGUGUUUUCUCGACGCUUUUUGGCGCCUUCAGUAGUUGUAGACGACAAGUAGCGUCGAGAUUUUCAGUCACAUGCUAGGCACGUGGUAGAAUAAUCUUCUUAUCAGGAAAAUUUGGGGGAAAAACCCACUCCCACUCUCGUAUAACUCUCAUUCUCAUAACUGAACCCUAGCCUCCCACUACUCAUAUUCUCUCUCAUCAAUCUAUGUUCUCAAAGAAUCACAGAUUUACCUCUCAAUUGGUUUCAUCGACAGAUCGAGACUGUAUUCGCCAUUUUUCCUAUGAUUAAAGUUUCGUCGAAGUUGAUAGGUGCUGCUAGUGCAGUGGUAGAGGGUAAUCUAGAAGGCAAAUUUUGCAGAGGCAAGUAUCAAACUCUGUCGAGGUAAAAUCCGACAGCCAAUGUACCAAGGCCUAACCCUCAAGGUUUUGCCACUUUUUAUACCUUGUCAAAAUUUGCAGAAAUUGACAAGAGAGAAAUGGAUGACUGCCAUAAAGCCAAGGUUGCUAGAAAGGACAUCGAGUUGGGAUCCUAUAAUUUGAUUUGACACCCCGUUUCUUCUCCACCAUUGAUUAUAUAUAUGUUUUUAGAUAUUUUUUUUUCUAAGUAUUAGGUUUUAUAUGUACGUGAGGUAUUUUUUAUGUAUCACUACUACAAAAUGGAGGUUUUGUCGACGAUUAUGGCUCGACACCCGGGGUAGAGCGUUGGCCUAAACUUUUAGUUCCGCGUUUUCUCGACGACAAUAACCGUCUAAAUAUUUGUUGUCCUGUUUUGGCGUCGUGGUUGCCACAUGCUUCGCACAUGGGUCUUAGUUUGGACGUUGCAGGUCGCGUAUUAACUUUUGGGUAAAAAAAAUUGAACUGUGUUUCUCUUUCUCUUUCUCUCUCUCUCUAUCUCUCAACCCUAACCCCAUUACUCCGUCACGUUCUCUGCCUCCAUAGUUGUAGAUCUACUCCUAAGGUUGAAUUGUUGUGUCAAUUUUAAGAUAUACGAUAGGUUGUAAGUGUAUCCAGAGACUUUAAGGUAUUCAUUUCUCUCCCACGUUCUUAAUUUCAUGGAUUUUUAUGUUUUUAUUUCAAGUGAAAUUUUUUGUUCUAGAUCUUUGAAUUGAGGUCUUCGGUAGUGCAAUUGUUCGUCUUUUCUCUCAUUUUCAGUUCUUCUAGUUGUUUGGUAUGUGAUUAAUUCUAUGUUUUGAUUUGUGUACCUUUUAGGUUUUCUAUCCUAAAACCUAAAGGGCGAUUCACUAUGCAGUGUUUUUGGAAGCUAAAGGGCGAUAAUUGAUGCUCAGAGAGUGCAUCUUAUGAGGAUUUCAAGGUCUUUUCUCUCUCAUAAUAUCCCGUCUACAUCACACCGCCUGUUGUUGCUUCUUUUACUCUAAAAAUAAUUAACUUGUUAUCUUAUGAAUUUGUGAGAUUGUAGGAAUGCUGAUCCUUUUGAAAGCCUGAAGAAUGCGCACGCAUUGUUUCUUGAUAGGAUGUCAGUUAUACAUAAGACAUGUUCUAUUCAUCAGAACCUAUGUCAACUAUGUUAUGGAUAUUGCUUCAAGAGGACUCUCAAUUUCUGCUGUUGGUAUAUAUAUUAGCAUAUAGGAAGAACCUGGGCUUGGAAGAUUUUCCUAAUAGUUGACUUUGGCUUUCAAGAAGACAUACAUAGAUGUCUUUGUCGGGGAAGCCAAGGCUGAGGCAAAUGCGAGUUUUCAUGAAAUUCCAGCUAUUUUUCAAAUGCGAAAUUCAGAAGGGAAACGCUGAUAUAUCAGAGAGCCAAAGCUAGGGGUCAUCCGGAAGAUCACUAUCUGUUGGAGAAGACUUUCAGAGUAUUAUCUUUGGAAUUCAGAUUGUCCAACGUGAUGAAGGUGCACUGGGAGAAUGAAGACUGGACACUCGAGCUUCAUAUACUAGCAUUUUUAGGAUUUAGUUUCUUUUGGCUUUAGUUUUUCUUGGGUUUAGUAGUUACAAUUUGUAUUUACGAUGAUGUUUUGAAUUCUUUGGAUAAGAGUUUGGUUAGUAACAUGCACGUAUUGUCUAUAUGGAUUUUUGUUAGUAAUGUGCAUGUACAAUGUAUUUUAACUACUGCUUGUAAGUUAAUUUAAAGUAUGAUUGAAGAUAUU